Non-coding RNA from Mesocricetus auratus (golden hamster), 296 nucleotides. NCBI's taxonomy places the organism in Eukaryota, Metazoa, Chordata, Mammalia, Rodentia, Cricetidae. The record is from Rfam.
GCUGGGCGUUGGUGGCGCACGCCUUUAGUCCCAGCACUCGGGAGGCAGAGGCAGGCGGAUCUCUGUGAGUUCGAGGCCAGCCUGGUGUACAGAGCGAGUUCCAGGGCAGCCUCCAAAAACACAGAGAAACCCUGUCUCGAAAAACCAAAAACAAAAAAAGAAAGCCUUGGCUUGUCUCUCUGACUCAGUUUUUGGUUUUUCGAGACAAGGUUUCUCUGUAUUGUUUUGGAGGCUGCCCUGGAACUCGCUCUGUAGACCAGACUGGCCUCAAACUCACAGAGAUCCGCCUGCCUCUG